UGUGUGUGUGUGUAUAUAUAUAUGCAUGUAUGUUUGCUACACAACAUUGAAUAUAGACAUUUACAUGCUAGCUCAAUUCUUUUAAAAGACCAGCUAAAAUUAAUAGGAAACUUGCUAUAAGUCUCCAAAUCCAAAGUAAUAAAAUGAUGCAAUAGGAGAACAAAAUCCGUCAGUACUCCCUAGAGGCAACUCCACUCCAGAAAAUUAAAAUGCGAAUGGGAAACAAAGACAACAGACAUGAGGAAUAGGACAGGAAAACCUGGAAAUAUUGCAUGGGUUUAAGAAAUAACAGUGAUGCAAGAAAGGAACAUUAAACAAGAACCCCAAAAGGGCAAUCCAAUAAAACAAAGCUAGUAUAUAUACAAAAUUUUAUCAACCAUGUAAAGAAUAACCACUGCCUUCAGGAAAAUUUGCAGUGGUCUUCCCACCUCCCACCAACCAAUCCCAACUGUGACAUCAUUCUAUUCCCUUUCCAGAAAGAAUUCCUAUUAAUACCUUGUCAUCUUCAAUUUAUCCAAUUCCUUGCAUUGUAGUAUUAGACUAUCAAAAGAAGGCUUUUCAAAUCAAGCGAAGGAUCCAGGUUAACUACCUUUGAAAGCAUUCAUCGUCCUACAUGAAGAUCUUCAGAGGAAACUGCUGCUCGAGGCAUGUUGUCAUUAUCAAAAGCACUUAGACCAGAGUAAGGACCUGAAGAGAAUAUCGAAGAUGUCCCAUCAGACUCGAAAGUAGUUGAUGACUGUCUCAUGUUUGGCCGGGUAUUGGAGGCUGACAUGGAAUCCUGAUACUCUGUGACACGCUGCACCAUUUUGAGUGACUGGACCACUUCACCCAUGGUGGGUCGUUGGUUUGCCUCAGGGGCAACACAAGCAGCUGCAAUGGUACAAACCCGUACAAAAUCUUCUUUUGGAUAUUUUCCCCCCAGCCUUGGAUCAGCAAGCUCUUCUAACCUAUCUUUGUCUCUAAGAAUUGGCCUGGCCCAAGUGACAAGGUUUUCCUGCCCAGAUGGUUGUGACAUAUCCACAGGUUUCCUCCCUGUCAGCAACUCAAGGAGAACAACUCCAUAGCUGUAAACAUCACUUUUUACUAGUAGAUGUCCAGUCAUAGCAUAUUCAGGGGCUACAUACCCAAAUGUGCCCAUGACACGAGUAGAAAGGUAAUUUGCUCUCCCUUCAGGUGCCUGUUUCGCAAGUCCAAAAUCAGCAACUUUAGCAUGAAAGUUGUUCUCAAGCAAUAUAUUUGAUGCCUUGAAGUCUCUGUGGAUAACACAAGGUUGUGAGUCCUCAUGCAGGUAUGCAAGACCUCUUGCAGCAUCAAGUGCGAUUUUCAUUCUGGUGUCCCAGUCCAAAGGACAAUUUACACCCAGAGGACCUGAGGCACAAUCAGACAGUAUUGUGUACUCUAUUACACAGUAUGAAAUAUCCUAAGUUGCAUGAACUCAAUUGCAAGUGCCCUGUGUCAGUAUUGUGUACUAUAUUAUACAGUAUAAAUUAUCUUAUGUUGCAUGAACUCAGCUGCAAGUGCCUUGUGCAGAUAUGUACGAAGGAUUCAACAUCAUAGAAUUCAGAUCUUCAGGCAGCACAAUAAUCCAAAAAAUUGCAUAUGAGCAUGAUCACAUGUUUGAUGUUUGCUAAUUAGUGUUAUUAUUAUUAUGUGUAAUUUGGUUUAUGUCAUUAGGCGCCAUGACAUUCACCAAGGUCAUUAAUCUAGCUGAAAUUCAACAAAUAGACCACUAAUAAAGAAAGUCAAACUAGAGAUGCACAUUUUUCAAUUUCUUGUUAUUACCGGCUUACCGCUGAUGAGAUUGUAUCCAAAGCCUAAAAGAAUUGGGUAAAAGGUCCCACGUGGUCAUGGGCUAAAGACAACCAUGUUUCUAUCUCACACAUAUGUUAAUGUCAUGUCAGUGUGGGCACCAUGGGCUGAAGUGCUGAAUUAGUGUAACAUAGGUAAUAUCUAUUUUUUUUUUCAACAAUAAACAUUCUGUCUUCAUGAAAGUUAUUGGUAUUAGAAGGAAAUAGCAAACACUUGGACGACAAGUGUAUCUUUGUUUUAAGAUAAUUACCAUUUAGCCAGGCCUCUAAGCUUCCAUUUGGAAUGAGUUCAUAACACAGUAGAUUUUGCGAAGAGUCACGACUACUAUAGUAACCCACAAGCUUCACAAGAUUGCGGUGAUGCAACCUGCUAAGCAUCUCAACCUCAGCAAGAAAUUCUUUAUUGCCUUGUUGUCCUCCGCUAGUAAGCCUCUUAAUUGCUACAGCUGUACCGUCAUUUAAGACACCCUUGAAAACUCUACCAAACCCACCCUCUCCAAGUAUGCUUGCAGAUUCAAAGUUGUUUGUUGCUUCUUUAAGUUCUUCAUAGGCUAGAAACCGUGUACUGCUAGGAUGUGGAAGAGAUCCUCCUGCUGGAACAGCAUCCACAGUCCUUGGCUUCACAUUUUCUUUAGGAGAUCCUUUAGGCUUCCCUUCACGAAAUGCGCAUGAACAAAUUACAAGCACAGAUACUAUGGUGAGAAUCACAAUGCCAGCACCAAUACCGAGUAUGAGAAUUAGAUUUGAAUGUUUGCCUCUGCCUGGAUCACUGGGUAGUGUGGAAGUUGCAGAUUGAUGUGCUGGUGCUUCCACAGGUGAUGAAGCAACAAUAGGAGCUUGGGAAGGUGAUGGAGGUUCAAACCAGGUAAGAUUGAGGAGUCUGUAAUCACCCACGAGGGUGGAGUCAAAAUGAACCUUAUGUAAUGCAAGCGAAGAAUUUAUUGAAGACACAUCACUGGCAGAGAAGCUGAUUCCCGUAUGAGGAGUAAUAUCCAUUGAAAUAUUUAAUCUUGAUAAGCUGAGUACAUAAAAGUUGAUAAGCUCAAUUUGAGAAACUAGCAAAUCAAGCUGGGAAGCUAACUCUUGCAGAAAUCUGUCCCAGUUAGGAUUUUGUGAGACAUUCAAAAGGAGAAAGUCAAGCUUUAUGGGAUACACACAAUGGCAAUUAUGACUCCCUUGUUUCAACACCAUGUCAGGUUUGCAACAAUCAGAGAAAUGAGGAGAUAAUGGCGGCUGAGCUAAACCAGAAGCAUUUGCACUAGUGUUGGAUUGUGUUGGUGCAAUUUCUAUCAAUCCAACAGUGGGAGGCACUAAAGCAUUCUUCUUCAUUGAUGGUUUUGACAAAUGUGAACUAGUAGGCGGGUGAAUAGAAGUUAUUAAUGGACCAUAAUUAAGAGGUGCGGCUGGUGCUACCACAACCGAUGAUGCACCAAGUGGUGAUAAAUGUUUUCUACGCAGUUUAUGAAACAGUGGAAGGUUGGCUGGCAGAGGCAGAUCAAGAAUGGCAGGUGCAGCGGCAGGUACUCUACUUGGAGGUACUAUCAGUUCUUUGAAGUGUCGAUCAUCAACCAAAUUGGCAUUGGUAGUGAGAAUCACAUAACAAGAAACAAACAAAAGAUGCAGCAACAGACUGCAGACUUUUCUUGAUACUUGUGCACCAAUGGUAUUUGGGACUGCAAGCACCGCCAUCACCCAAACAACAAUAUUAUUAGAAAAUUGCACGUUAGAUCUGUGAGAUUUCAAGGAAUCAACGCGAGAUCACAGCUACAGUAAAUGAAGACUUCAAAAGGGAAAGCGAAUCACUACAAGCAAGACUUGUUUUUGACAGUAAAUGAAGGAGGAUCCACGGGAGAAGAUAUCACAGUGAAAACAGCAACUCGGAACUCAUAACACAGUGCCAAACCCUCCAUUACUGAGUUUUAAUCGAAGAAACAGUAGUAACAGAGAGGUUUGUUUUCAUGACUGUUGGUGGAGAUUAUCGUUGGAUUCACUCAGUCACCGGUUU
This 3813-nucleotide unclassified non-coding RNA is filed under the name Hevea brasiliensis (rubber tree). The record is from RNAcentral. Lineage: Eukaryota; Viridiplantae; Streptophyta; Magnoliopsida; Malpighiales; Euphorbiaceae.